This is a non-coding RNA of Salmo salar (Atlantic salmon), 53 nucleotides long. Lineage: Eukaryota; Metazoa; Chordata; Actinopteri; Salmoniformes; Salmonidae. The record is from Rfam.
AGCACUCACUACUGUAAGUCUCUAUGGAUAAAGCGUCUGCUAAAUGACGUAAA